UUUUAUAUGUUGAUAUAUUAGAGAAACUAAAUAAGGGUGCUCGAAACACCCUAAACCCCUUAUAUAGGAAAUGAACUCUAACCUAGAACUUGAAAGCUCACCUUCUCACCCAAUAAGGUGUAAACUAGGUAGAUGUUAUAUGAAACUAGGGGUGGCCACAGUCCGAUUUCAAGUCAGAGUCGAACUGGAACCGGUUCAGUUAAAAUCAGACUGAAACUAG
This 220-nucleotide unclassified non-coding RNA is filed under the name Hevea brasiliensis (rubber tree). The record is from RNAcentral. Lineage: Eukaryota; Viridiplantae; Streptophyta; Magnoliopsida; Malpighiales; Euphorbiaceae.